RNAcentral lists this long non-coding RNA (822 nucleotides) under Vigna radiata. Its description in RNAcentral is "long non-coding RNA (VRAD_LNC013758)". The record is from RNAcentral. Lineage: Eukaryota; Viridiplantae; Streptophyta; Magnoliopsida; Fabales; Fabaceae.
UUAUAUUAUUGUAUAUUAUUAAUUCAUAUUUUAUUAAUUAUGAUUGCUAAAUUUUAGGUUUAAUACCUAUUUUGGUCCCUCUUUUGGGAGGGUUUGUUCAAAGUGGUCCCUCCGUUUUUCAAAAGUUCACUUAAGUCCUAUCUUUUGCAAAAACUGUUCAAAGUGGUCCUUUUCGCUAAUGGCGUUAAGUUCAUUAACGACAGACGUGCCAGGUGUCUAACAUCUGCUGAUUUGGCAUUGUUAAUUGUUUUUUAAAAAAUAUAUAAUAGUGACGUGGAAAUUAAAUUAAUUAGGGUUGGAUUAGAGAAGGAUUUAGGGGUUGGCUCGACGCCGGCAACAACACCUGUCCCGCAACCAUCCAGAUCUGGUCCGAUUCCCUUCGUCAUUCAGCUAUCCUCUCCCCUGACCAGGUCCUCCUAACCGUGUCUCAAUUGGAAACCCACUCUCUCCGCUCCGCUUCCCUCACCAAACCCACUCUCUCCUAACCGGAGAACGAUCCGGCGCUGGUGUUCAUAGACAGAGACUAACUCCGAAUCUGUCACCUGAUUCUUGUUCAGGCGGUGGUGUUGCUGCAGAGAAGGAUUCGGUAAGCUAGAUUUUCCUAUUUAUUUGUUUUUUUUUUGUACAAUUGACCAUGAUCUACCUGGAAACAUCUACGAAUUAAUGAAGAAACUUGCCAAAUUCAGUGGUUGGGGUAGCAUUUAGUUCUCUGAAUGAGGUGUUUUGUAUUAAAAGAAAAGAAAUCAUUGAUAGUAAAUGCGCUGAAUUUUGCAGUUUUCUCACAAAUUUGGUUGGAGAUCUUCGAAACAACUGCUUGGAACA